NAAACUUUCAACAACGGAUCUCUUGGUUCUGGCAUCGAUGAAGAACGCAGCGAAAUGCGAUAAGUAAUGUGAAUUGCAGAAUUCAGUGAAUCAUCGAAUCUUUGAACGCACCUUGCGCCCUCCGGUAUCCCGGUGUGCAUGCCUGUUCGAGCGUCAAAU
This 159-nucleotide ribosomal RNA is filed under the name Dendrographa leucophaea f. minor. RNAcentral describes it as "5.8S ribosomal RNA". It matches the Rfam family "5.8S ribosomal RNA". From Rfam's summary of the family: 5.8S ribosomal RNA (5.8S rRNA) is a component of the large subunit of the eukaryotic ribosome. It is transcribed by RNA polymerase I as part of the 45S precursor that also contains 18S and 28S rRNA. The record is from RNAcentral. Lineage: Eukaryota; Fungi; Ascomycota; Arthoniomycetes; Arthoniales; Roccellaceae.